GAUGAACGCUGGCGGCGUGCCUAAUACAUGCAAGUCGAGCGAACAGACGAGGAGCUUGCCCCUCUGACGUUAGCGGCGGACGGGUGAGUAACACGUGGAUAACCUACCUAUAAGACUGGGAUAACUUCGGGAAACCGGUGCUAAUACCGGAUAAUAUAUUGAACCGCAUGGUUCAAUAGUGAAAGACGGUUUUGCUGUCACUUAUAGAUGGAUCCGCGCCGGAUUAGCUAGUUGGUAAGGUAACGGCUUACCAAGGCAACGAUGCGUAGCCGACCUGAGAGGAUGAUCGGCCACACUGGAACUGAGACACGGUCCAGACUCCUACGGGAGGCAGCAGUAGGGAAUCUUCCGCAAUGGGCGAAAGCCUGACGGAGCAACGCCGCGUGAGUGAUGAAGGUCUUCGGAUCGUAAAACUCUGUUAUUAGGGAAGAACAAAUGUGUAAGUAACUAUGCACGUCUUGACGGUACCUAAUCAGAAAGCCACGGCUAACUACGUG
Molecule: ribosomal RNA, 497 nt
Filed under: uncultured bacterium
Lineage: Bacteria
Description: partial 16S ribosomal RNA
Rfam family: Bacterial small subunit ribosomal RNA
Source: RNAcentral